RNAcentral lists this ribosomal RNA (574 nucleotides) under uncultured delta proteobacterium. RNAcentral's name for it is "bacterial SSU rRNA". It matches the Rfam family "Bacterial small subunit ribosomal RNA", at positions 117 to 668 of the family's 1533-position model. The record is from RNAcentral. Lineage: Bacteria; Deltaproteobacteria.
GUAGGUAAUCUACCCUAGAGUUUGGAAUAACCGGCCGAAAGGCUGGCUAAUACUGGAUAGAGCGACGGAAACCGUAAUUGGUUUUUUCGGGAAAGGGAGCUCGCAAGAGCCCUCGCUUUAGGAUGAGCCUGCGUCCCAUCAGCUAGUUGGUAAGGUAACGGCUUACCAAGGCUUUGACGGGUAGCUGGUCUGAGAGGAUGAUCAGCCACACUGGAACUGAAACACGGUCCAGACUCCUACGGGAGGCAGCAGUGGGGAAUCUUGCGCAAUGGGCGAAAGCCUGACGCAGCCACGCCGCGUGAGUGAAGAAGGCCUUCGGGUUGUAAAGCUCUGUCGAGCGGGACGAAAAGCUAUACAGUUAAGAGCUGGGUAGCCUGACGGUACCGCUAAAGGAAGCACCGGCUAACUCUGUGCCAGCAGCCGCGGUAAUACAGAGGGUGCAAGCGUUGCUCGGAAUUAUUGGGCGUAAAGGGUAGGUAGGUGGUCCCAUUUGUCAGGGGUGAAAGCCUUGGGCUUAACUCAAGAAGUGCCCCUGAAACGGUGAGACUAGAGUACUGGAGAGGGUCGUGGAAUU